Molecule: long non-coding RNA, 564 nt
Filed under: Equus caballus (horse)
Lineage: Eukaryota; Metazoa; Chordata; Mammalia; Perissodactyla; Equidae
Description: lncRNA (ENSECAG00000046639.1)
Source: RNAcentral
AAACCAUAUCCUGCAAAAAGGGAAACAUGAGAAAAAUGUGCAGGAAGUUUAAAAUAGCUCAAUAUAUUGGGGAACUGCAUUGGUCAUAUGGCAUAGGUUUGUUUGCAGAAGUGAACAUUCAGGAACAAGUCUUCACAGGGAGAAGUCUGAAGUCAGUCAGCCCAGCCAGUGUCCUUGAGGUGAAUCAUCUCUACCUUCUGCUCAGAAGGCUUCAAUGGCUCAUCAUCUUCUACGCUGGAGGUCGUGAAGGCAUGGAUUGUAUGGUCUCUGUAGUAGCUACUUAACUUUGCCAUUGUUGGGCAACAACAGCCAUAGACAAUACAUAAAUGAGUGAGUAUGGCUAUGUUCCAAUAAAAUUUUAUUGACAAAACAAGUAGUGGGUCAGAUUUGGCUCCUGGUUAUAGUUUGCCAACCUCUGUUCUAUGUUACUAGCUCCAAGCUCCUCAGCUUAGAAUUCAAGGCCCCUCAUUUAGCCCUUACUUACCUCUUUAGCCUCAUAUACUACCAUUGCUUGCUUUUCACCUUCCCUGCCCCUCCACUUAGAACCCAGAGAUAUACAACUGG